CAGCAGCCACGGGAAUACGUAGGGCGCAAGCGUUAUCCGGAAUUAUUGGGCGUAAAGAGCUCGUAGGCGGUUUGUCGCGUCUGCCGUGAAAGUCCGGGGCUCAACCCCGGAUCUGCGGUGGGUACGGGCAGACUAGAGUGAUGUAGGAGAGACUGGAAUUCCUGGUGUAGCGGUGAAAUGCGCAGAUAUCAGGAGGAACACCGAUGGCGAAGGCAGGUCUCUGGGCAUUAACGGACGCUGAGGAGCGAAAGCAUGGGGAGCGAACAGGAUUAGAUACCCCCGUAGUCCCUGUCUCUUAUAC
Molecule: ribosomal RNA, 301 nt
Filed under: uncultured bacterium
Lineage: Bacteria
Description: partial 16S ribosomal RNA
Rfam family: Bacterial small subunit ribosomal RNA
Source: RNAcentral